RNAcentral lists this ribosomal RNA (442 nucleotides) under uncultured bacterium. RNAcentral's name for it is "partial 16S ribosomal RNA". It matches the Rfam family "Bacterial small subunit ribosomal RNA", at positions 338 to 795 of the family's 1533-position model. The record is from RNAcentral.
CCUACGGGUGGCAGCAGUGGGGAAUAUUGGGCAAUGGGCGCAAGCCUGACCCAGCAACGCCGCGUGAAGGAAGAAGGCUUUCGGGUUGUACACUUCUGUUAAUAGGGAAGAGCAGACGUCUAUACCUCUUUAAUAAUCCACGACUAACUACGUGCCAGCAGCCGCGGUAAUACGAAGGUGGCAAGCGUGGUCCGGCUUUACUGGCUGUAAAGGGCGGGUAGCCGGGGUGACAAAUCAGAUGUGAAAUUCCGGGGCUCAACCACGGACCUGCAUUUGAAACUGGUGGUCUUGAGUAUCGGAGAGGAAAGCGGAAUUCCUAGUGUAGCGGUGAAAUGCGUAGAUAUUAGGAGGAACACCAGUGGCGAAGGCGGCCUGCUGGACGAGAACUGACGGUGAGGCGCGAAAGCGUGGGGAGCAAACAGGAUUAGAUACCCUGGUAGUC